Non-coding RNA from Kluyvera intermedia, 101 nucleotides. The record is from Rfam. NCBI's taxonomy places the organism in Bacteria, Pseudomonadati, Pseudomonadota, Gammaproteobacteria, Enterobacterales, Enterobacteriaceae.
CAGUGCUCAACGGGGUGCUACGCCAAAAGCGUGUGCUGAGAAAAUACCCGUCGAACCUGAUCCGGAUAACGCCGGCGAAGGGAUUUGAGGCUAUCGCUUAA